GGGCCGGUAGCUCAGCUGGUCAGAGCAGCGGACUCAUAAUCCGUCGGUCGGUGGUUCGAGUCCACCCCGGCCCA
RNAcentral lists this transfer RNA (74 nucleotides) under Solirubrobacterales bacterium. RNAcentral describes it as "tRNA-Ile". It matches the Rfam family "tRNA". From Rfam's summary of the family: Transfer RNA (tRNA) molecules are approximately 80 nucleotides in length. Their secondary structure includes four short double-helical elements and three loops (D, anti-codon, and T loops). RNAcentral also lists the same sequence under 2 other names. Lineage: Bacteria; Bacillati; Actinomycetota; Thermoleophilia; Solirubrobacterales. The record is from RNAcentral.